GGGGAAUAUUGCGCAAUGGACGAAAGUCUGACGCAGCAACGCCGCGUGAGUGAAGAAGGCCUGCGGGUCGUAAAGCUCUGUCGUUUGGGACGAAAACACGUAGGUUCAUAGCCUGCGUCUUGACGGUACCAGACAAGAAAGCACCGGCUAACUCCGUGCCAGCAGCCGCGGUAAUACGGAGGGUGCAAGCGUUGCUCGGAAUCACUGGGCGUAAAGGGGAAGUAGGUGGUCUCGUGUGUCUAAGGUGAAAUCCCGAAGCUUAACUUCGGAGCGGCCUUAGAAACUGCGAGACUCGAGUCCUAGAGAGGGUUGUAGAAUUCCCGGUGUAGCGGUGAAAUGCGUAGAGAUCGGGAGGAAUACCAGAGGCGAAAGCGACAACCUGGAUAGGUACUGACACUAAAUUCCGAAAGCGUGGGGAGCAAAC
This 424-nucleotide ribosomal RNA is filed under the name uncultured bacterium. RNAcentral describes it as "bacterial SSU rRNA". It matches the Rfam family "Bacterial small subunit ribosomal RNA", at positions 356 to 773 of the family's 1533-position model. The record is from RNAcentral.